RNAcentral lists this ribosomal RNA (441 nucleotides) under Cylindromacrostomum riegeri. RNAcentral describes it as "partial 16S ribosomal RNA". It matches the Rfam family "Archaeal large subunit ribosomal RNA", at positions 1893 to 2688 of the family's 2987-position model. The record is from RNAcentral. Lineage: Eukaryota; Metazoa; Platyhelminthes; Dolichomicrostomida; Dolichomacrostomidae.
UGUUUAAUAAAAACAUUUCCAAAUUUAAUUUUUGGUAAGCUCUGCCCUAUGCUUUGGUAAAUGGCCAUUUUAUGCUAAGGUAGCAUAAUUACUUGCUUCUUAAAUAGAUGACUGUCUGAAAGAGUUAACUGUGAAUUUUUAUUUUUGUGGUAAAUUUGAAUUUUGUAUUUUGUAAAAACCCAAUUUUAACAUAAAAGACGAGAAGACCCCAGAAUUUAUUACUUGGGAGUGUUUGAUGGGGCGUUGGCUUCUUUUUCAGAAUUUUUUAGAUAAGAGGUAAAAAAAAUUACUCUGGGGGUAACAGGGCAAUCUAAAAUAAAGCUCAUAUUAAAAUUUAGGAUUGCUACCUCGAUGUUGAAUUAGGCUAAAUCCUUAGGGCAAAAAAUAAGGUUAUGGGCCUGUUCGGCCUUUAUAAGCUUACAUGAUUUGAGUUUAAACCGG